This 254-nucleotide ribosomal RNA is filed under the name uncultured bacterium. RNAcentral's name for it is "partial 16S ribosomal RNA". It matches the Rfam family "Bacterial small subunit ribosomal RNA", at positions 524 to 776 of the family's 1533-position model. The record is from RNAcentral.
UACGUAGGGUCCGAGCGUUGUCCGGAAUUAUUGGGCGUAAAGAGCUCGUAGGCGGUCUGUCACGUCGGACGUGAAAAUCCAGGGCUCAACCCUGGACCCUGCGUUCGAUACGGGCAGACUAGAGUUCGGUAGGGGAGACUGGAAUUCCUGGUGUAGCGGUGAAAUGCGCAGAUAUCAGGAGGAACACCGGUGGCGAAGGCGGGUCUCUGGGCCGAAACUGACGCUGAGGAGCGAAAGCGUGGGGAGCAAACAGG